AUUGAACGCUGGCGGCAUGCUUUACACAUGCAAGUCGAACGGUAACAGGCCGCAAGGUGCUGACGAGUGGCGAACGGGUGAGUAAUGCAUCGGAACGUGCCCAGUCGUGGGGGAUAACGCAGCGAAAGCUGCGCUAAUACCGCAUACGAUCUAUGGAUGAAAGCGGGGGACCGUAAGGCCUCGCGCGAUUGGAGCGGCCGAUGUCAGAGUAGGUAGUUGGUGGGGUAAAGGCUCACCAAGACGACGAUCUGUAGCUGGUCUGAGAGGACGACCAGCCACACUGGGACUGCGACACGGCCCAGACUCCUACGGGAGGCAGCAGUGGGGAAUUUUGGACAAUGGGCGCAAGCCUGAUCCAGCAAUGCCGCGUGCAGGAAGAAGGCCUUCGGGUUGUAAACUGCUUUUGUACGGGAAGAAACGGUGAAGGCUAAUAUCCUUUGCUAAUGACGGUACCUGAAGAAUAAGCACCGGCUAACUACGUGCCAGCCGCCGCCGUAA
RNAcentral lists this ribosomal RNA (498 nucleotides) under uncultured bacterium. RNAcentral describes it as "partial 16S ribosomal RNA". It matches the Rfam family "Bacterial small subunit ribosomal RNA", at positions 30 to 523 of the family's 1533-position model. The record is from RNAcentral.